GAACGCUAGCGGCAGGCCUAACACAUGCAAGUCGAGGGAGGAGCUUUCGGGCUUCGACCGGCGUACGGGUGCGUAACGCGUAUACAAUCUGCCUUUCACAUAGGGAUAGCCCGAAGAAAUUUGGAUUAAUACCUAAUGGCAUAUAGGGGUGGCAUCACCUUUAUAUUAAAGCUGAGGCGGUGAAAGAUGAGUAUGCGUUCUAUUAGCUAGUUGGAGAGGUAACGGCUCCCCAAGGCUGCGAUAGAUAGGGGUUCUGAGAGGGAUAUCCCCCACACUGGUACUGAGAUACGGACCAGACUCCUACGGGAGGCAGCAGUGAGGAAUAUUGGACAAUGGUCGGAAGACUGAUCCAGCCAUGCCGCGUGCAGGAAGACGGCCUUAUGGGUUGUAAACUGCUUUUGCAGGGGAAGAAUAAGGACUACGUGUAGUUUGAUGACGGUACUCUGCGAAUAAGCAUCGGCUAACUCCGUGCCAGCAGCCGCGGUAAUACGGAGGAUGCGAGCGUUAUCCGGAAUCAUUGGGUUUAAAGGGUCCGUAGGCGGGCUAAUAAGUCAGAGGUGAAAGCGCUCAGCUCAACUGAGCAACUGCCUUUGAAACUGUUAGUCUUGAAUGGUUGUGAAGUAGUUGGAAUGUGUAGUGUAGCGGUGAAAUGCUUAGAUAUUACACAGAACACCGAUAGCGAAGGCAUAUUACUAACAAUUGAUUGACGCUGAUGGACGAAAGCGUGGGGAGCGAACAGGAUUAGAUACCCUGGUAGUCCACGCUGUAAACGAUGGAUACUAGCUGUUUGGUUGCAAGACUGAGUGGCUAAGCGAAAGUGAUAAGUAUCCCACCUGGGGAGUACGCACGCAAGUGU
RNAcentral lists this ribosomal RNA (856 nucleotides) under uncultured Bacteroidota bacterium. RNAcentral describes it as "bacterial SSU rRNA". It matches the Rfam family "Bacterial small subunit ribosomal RNA", at positions 31 to 895 of the family's 1533-position model. The record is from RNAcentral. Lineage: Bacteria; Pseudomonadati; Bacteroidota.